UACGUAGGGUGCAAGCGUUGUCCGGAAUUAUUGGGCGUAAAGAGCUCGUAGGCGGUCUGUCGCGUCGGCUGUGAAAACCCGGGGCUCAACCCCGGGCUUGCUUUCGAUACGGGCAGACUAGAGUAUGGCAGGGGAGACUGGAAUUCCUGGUGUAGCGGUGAAAUGCGCGGAUAUCAGGAGGAACACCGGUGGCGAAGGCGGGUCUCUGGGCCAUUACUGACGCUGAGGAGCGAAAGCGUGGGGAGCAAACAGG
RNAcentral lists this ribosomal RNA (253 nucleotides) under uncultured bacterium. RNAcentral describes it as "partial 16S ribosomal RNA". It matches the Rfam family "Bacterial small subunit ribosomal RNA", at positions 524 to 776 of the family's 1533-position model. The record is from RNAcentral.